Molecule: ribosomal RNA, 155 nt
Filed under: Beauveria bassiana
Lineage: Eukaryota; Fungi; Ascomycota; Sordariomycetes; Hypocreales; Cordycipitaceae
Description: 5.8S ribosomal RNA
Rfam family: 5.8S ribosomal RNA
About the family: 5.8S ribosomal RNA (5.8S rRNA) is a component of the large subunit of the eukaryotic ribosome. It is transcribed by RNA polymerase I as part of the 45S precursor that also contains 18S and 28S rRNA.
Source: RNAcentral
AAACUUUCAACAACGGAUCUCUUGGCUCUGGCAUCGAUGAAGAACGCAGCGAAAUGCGAUACGUAAUGUGAAUUGCAGAAUCCAGUGAAUCAUCGAAUCUUUGAACGCACAUUGCGCCCGCCAGCAUUCUGGCGGGCAUGCCUGUUCGAGCGUCA